GUUUGAUCCUGGCUCAGAUUGAACGCUGGCGGCAUGCCUUACACAUGCAAGUCGAACGGUAACGCGGGGCAACCUGGCGACGAGUGGCGAACGGGUGAGUAAUGCAUCGGAACGUGCCCAGUAGUGGGGGAUAGCCCGGCGAAAGCCGGAUUAAUACCGCAUACGACCUACGGGUGAAAGCGGGGGACCGCAAGGCCUCGCGCUAUUGGAGCGGCCGAUGUCAGAUUAGGUAGUUGGUGGGGUAAAGGCCUACCAAGCCUACGAUCUGUAGCUGGUCUGAGAGGACGACCAGCCACACUGGGACUGAGACACGGCCCAGACUCCUACGGGAGGCAGCAGUGGGGAAUUUUGGACAAUGGGGGCAACCCUGAUCCAGCCAUGCCGCGUGCGGGAAGAAGGCCUCGGUGUAACGCUUUGUCUAGGAGAAAGUACUCCUGAGCUAAUACCUCCGGGGGAGUGGACGGUACCGUCGG
RNAcentral lists this ribosomal RNA (473 nucleotides) under uncultured bacterium. Its description in RNAcentral is "bacterial SSU rRNA". It matches the Rfam family "Bacterial small subunit ribosomal RNA", at positions 11 to 484 of the family's 1533-position model. The record is from RNAcentral.